This 492-nucleotide ribosomal RNA is filed under the name uncultured bacterium. RNAcentral describes it as "partial 16S ribosomal RNA". It matches the Rfam family "Bacterial small subunit ribosomal RNA", at positions 29 to 507 of the family's 1533-position model. The record is from RNAcentral.
AGUGAACGCUGGCGGUAGGCCUAACACAUGCAAGUCGAACGGCAGCACAGUAAGAGCUUGCUCUUACGGGUGGCGAGUGGCGGACGGGUGAGGAAUACAUCGGAAUCUACUUUUUCGUGGGGGAUAACGUAGGGAAACUUACGCUAAUACCGCAUACGACCUACGGGUGAAAGCAGGGGAUCUUCGGACCUUGCGCGAUUGAAUGAGCCGAUGUCGGAUUAGCUAGUUGGCGGGGUAAAGGCCCACCAAGGCGACGAUCCGUAGCUGGUCUGAGAGGAUGAGCAGCCACACUGGAACUGAGACACGGUCCAGACUCCUACGGGAGGCAGAAGUGGGGAAUAUUGGACAAUGGGCGCAAGCCUGAUCCAGCCAUACCGCGUGGGUGAAGAAGGCCUUCGGGUUGUAAAGCCCUUUUGUUGGGAAAGAAAAGCAGCAGGUUAAUACCCCGCUGUUCUGACGGUACCCAAAGAAUAAGCACCGGCUAACUUCGUG